UUUAUUUCAAACGGGGGAGGAAACGACACCAUUCUGCUGUAGUUUCUUUUUACGGAUAUGGGAGAAGAAAAUGAAGACUGCCAAUCAAAGUAUAUCGCUGUAUAUGAAGGUUCGCCAAACUCAAGAACACUUCUGAAAAAGUUUUGCAAUGAUGAAAAUCCGAUAUUCCAAACUGAAACGAAAUCAUUCCAUGUGAUGUUCUACUCCGCGCACCCUAUAGUGGAUGUAUCAUUCGUAGCAAAGUACGAACUUCUCUCACCGACUCUUGAGUUAUAUAAUGAUUCAUAUAUGGUGGCUGAUGAUGAGAAACAGUAUUUUACAUCACCAGAUUUUUUCAACCAAACUGACAUUCCAAUGAAUAUUCAAUGGAUUGUUAUGGCAAAGGAAAUGAAUGACGUUAUCGUUCUUGAGCUUGCUUAGUCUGGAAUGCCCCAGUCUUACAAUUGCAGAGAAGCAGCCCUUCGGGUCUAUGAUAAUGUAUCAGAUAUUGAAACAGAUAAUAUGAUUGGUCAAUUUUGUGGACCGAAAACUGUUAGUAUAGUUUCUUCUACUAACAGAAUGCUGAUUUGGUACUCGGCGAACUGGUCAGCGCACAGUCGGGGUUUUAUGGCGGUGUAUUACUCAAAACAAAAAGGUACUAAAAUACCUCAGCAGUCUCUGGAUCGAACUCCAAUCAUUUGCAUCAUUCUCAUUGUGGCUGUGAUCAUAUGUAUUAUUUAUGUAUUUAACUGGUAUUGGCAGUGUUGUCGACACAACAAGAUAAACAGAUUACACACUUGGAGGACCUCUCGAAAACACUACCACAAAUUCGACAACGAUAAUAUUGAAGAGUGAUAUUCAAAACACAAAAUAUCAUUUAAAAAAUAAACAAGAAGAAAGCAAACAGCAGCAUAAGUAAUUACAUGUACAGAUCUAUAAUUUUCACAAUACAAUACAAAACAAAAAUAAAGGAUUAUAUAUAUGUGUACAAAGCUGAUUAACUGAAAUUUUCUGACGAAAAUAUUUUUGGUGUUGUUCCGAAUAGACAAAAUACAAUUUUUGAGAGAGAAGGGUAAAACGCAAAUGAGUUAAUUAAAUGUAUUACUGGUAAUACAGUUCUGUAUUUUUGAGAUGAGAAAUUCUGUACAUUAUUUACAUUAUUUACAUUAGACGGAAACGUGUCCUUAUCUUGUUUAUUGUUACCACAACGUUUCGGCUGAUUUACUCUCUAGCCUUCAUCAGGUGUCGUGGUAGGAUUUUGAACGCAGGAUUGGGUUCAAAAUCCUACUAGGACACCUGAUGAAGGCUGCAGAGUAAAUCAGCCGCAACGUUGUGGUAACAACAGACAGGAUGAGGACACAUGUCGAUCUAAUGUAAAUAAUGUAUUACUGGUGUGUGAAAUGAAAGAAAGUAUCUGAAGAGCGAAAGAAAGUUUCCACUCCCGCGAAAAUUGCACACAAGGGACGAAACUAUAAAUAUUGAAAGACAAUAGAUUAACAAUUCUGUCUUAUUCUUUGAUUCAUUGUUCUUUCCCAAAACUGGUUUUAAACUGAAAUAUUAACAAACAGUAGAAAAGUUUGAGUUCUACUAACUCUAUAGGAAUGUUUCUGUAUUUCUGCUCUUCACAUGCAUGUGUAUUUGCCAAUCAUCUGGUGGUGUUGUGUGUAUAUGUAUACAUGCACACAUCCGUGCAUACAUGUACACAUGCAUACAUGCAUACACAUACACACAUACAAACACACAUUCAUACAUGCAUACAUAGGAGGUAUGCGUGUACGUGUUCAAACUUAAGUUUAGUAAUCUGUUUAAAGGACGAAAAAAAUCACCAGGAAACCAUCGAAAAAUGUCAAUCCACAGAGCUGUGUAUAAAAUAUAAAUAUAAAUAAUAAUUCAGUCCUCUACUAUUAAUUCCGUUGUUACCGUAUUGAUAAAUACGUCAGUUAUUCACAUAGAUACAGAGCCACAUGUGCAGUGGAUUAAUUUCAGCAAUUCCCGUCUGGCAUUUAUUUUAUUGACUCCAGGAAAAUGUAAGGCAAAAUUAACAUUGUUGGAAUACAAAAUCAGUACGUACAGAGGAAUUUAACUAAAUACUGUAAGGCACUUUGGCAAAAUUUGGAACGAUUGUGCUAAACCAAACGACUCUGCGUUAAGGAUUAUUAUUAACUAAGGGUUUGACGAUGAGUAAAUAGAAAUUAUAGAGAUCUUGGUUAAACAUUGUAUAGUGUUAUACUACUUUUUCCUUUGUAGACAUUGAACUCCAUCCAAGAUUUAUUUCUGUGAAGUUCUCUAGCAGAAUGAAGCAUAUACCAUUCAAGUAGAUUAAUUUUGGUUCACCAUUGCAUUAAGAAAACCAAAUAUAACACUAGUCACUCUUUCGAAUCACAAAAAUUACGAGGAAGAAGAAGAAGAAGGGAUAGGAGGAAGAAGG
Octopus sinensis (East Asian common octopus) is the source of this 2407-nucleotide RNA transcript. RefSeq lists it as uncharacterized. Lineage: Eukaryota; Metazoa; Mollusca; Cephalopoda; Octopoda; Octopodidae. The transcript has 7 exons. The record is from RefSeq and is a predicted model, not a curated record.